This 1277-nucleotide ribosomal RNA is filed under the name Clostridium botulinum C/D str. DC5. Its description in RNAcentral is "bacterial LSU rRNA". It matches the Rfam family "Bacterial large subunit ribosomal RNA", at positions 1 to 1283 of the family's 2925-position model. The record is from RNAcentral. Lineage: Bacteria; Bacillati; Bacillota; Clostridia; Eubacteriales; Clostridiaceae.
GAUCAAGCUACAAAGGGCGCACGGUGAAUGCCCUGGCACUAGGAGCCGAUGAAGGACGUGAUAAGCUGCGAUAAGCUACAUGUAGGCGCACACAGCCUGUGAUAUGUAGAUUUCCGAAUGGGAAAACCCAUCUAGUUAUGCUAGAUACUGUAUACCGAAUACAUAGGUAUAUGGAGGUACACCUGGGGAACUGAAACAUCUAAGUACCCAGAGGAAGAGAAAGAAAAUUCGAUUCCCUAAGUAGCGGCGAGCGAAAGGGGAAGAGCCCAAACCAGGAACUUGUUCCUGGGGUUGCGGAUAGAUCAUAACGCUUUGAUUUCUUUAGUUGAAGAGAACUGGAAAGUUCCGUCGUAGAAGGUAAUAACCCUGUAGGCGAAAAGGAAAGAAAAGUAGAUCUACUCCAGAGUACCACGAGACACGUGAAACCUUGGGGGAAGCUGGGAGGACCAUCUCCCAAGGCUAAAUACUACCUAGUGACCGAUAGUGAAGCAGUACCGUGAGGGAAAGGUGAAAAGAACCCCGGAAGGGGAGUGAAAUAGAAUCUGAAACCGUGUGCCUACAAUCGGUCGGAGCACAUUAAAGUGUGACGGCGUACUUUUUGUAGAACGGGCCAGCGAGUUACGAUAUAUAGCAAGGUUAAGCACUUAUGGUGUGGAGCCGAAGGGAAACCGAGUCUGAAUAGGGCAACUAGUUGUAUAUUGUAGACCCGAAACCGAGUGACCUAUCCAUGGCCAGGAUGAAGCGGAAGUAAAAUUCCGUGGAGGUCCGAACCACGUUGGUGUUGAAAAACCAUGGGAUGAGCUGUGGAUAGCGGAGAAAUUCCAAUCGAACUCGGAGAUAGCUGGUUCUCCUCGAAAUAGCUUUAGGGCUAGCGUCGGGUAAUUGAGUAGUGGAGGUAGAGCACUGAAUGGGCUAGGGGCUGACAAUAGUUACUGAACCCUAUCAAACUCCGAAUGCCAUAUACUUGUACCCCGGCAGUCAGACUACGAAUGAUAAGAUCCGUGGGCAAAAGGGAAACAGCCCAGACCAUCAGCUCAGGUCCCAAAGGGGAAGUUAAGUGGGAAAGGAUGUGGGAUUUCUAAGACAACUAGGAUGUUGGCUUAGAAGCAGCCACUCAUUUAAAGAGUGCGUAAUAGCUCACUAGUCGAGAGAUCCUGCGCCGAAGAUGUAACGGGGCUCAAACUUACCACCGAAGCUAUGGAUGUGUACUUUGUACACGUGGUAGAGGAGCUUUCUAUACAGGUUGAAGUCAUACCGUAAGGAGUGGUGGACAGUAC